GUGUUUUUUAUUUUAGACAAAGUACACAGUUGGGGGCCAGACUGAUCUCCUGGUCAUGAAUGGAUUCCGGGACCUACCAGAAGGAGCAAAGCUUGCCAGGCAAGACCUCCGAAUCAAACUGCGCAAUGCGACAUAACUACCCUCGUGACACCUCCCCCAUUGUCGCCAGUCUCCCUCGAAUCCUAUGUCAAGAACAGGCCCUCAUGAUGACACAGACGGCUUCAUCAACAAUGACAGACUCUCCCGGUCGAUAAGAUUGCCUGCUGCAAUUGUUCGAGAGCUGUCCGAACAUGCAGCAUAGAAAAGACCAGUAAGGGGGGUCCUUAUUAGCAUCAUGCAGACAAGCCCUCGCUGUGAGCAUUCCUAUGAAUGGAACAGUCAGCCAUGUGUCGGGAAGUGUCCGGCCAGCGACCGUCCCCUGUCAACAGCAACAGUUUUCUCAAGCUCAUCAUUUGUACAAACACGGAAGGUAAACCACUUUGUUACUUUGAUACCUUUGAGGACCCAAUUGUGAAACAAUUUAUGCAAACGGACAUUAUUUGUUGCUUAUUCUUUCUACUUCUUAGAUGCAUAUAAUGUCUAGAGCAUAACCUAGCCUGGUGGAACCUGCCUGAUCGAAGUGAAUUAGAAAGGUGAAUGCGGCGUUCAGCUUGGUUCCACCAGGCUAAUGAUAACCACCACUGAUAACGUAAUCUGUGUUGUGCGUGUGCAACGGCCCAGUAUCUUUGGUGAGUGGCCAGGAGCUGACCUACGCUGCUAUGUACAUCAACGGGGCUCUGGCAAAGACCUCACCUCCAGCCUCGCCUCUUGCCUGCUCCCCAACGGUGGCCGACGGCGAGAACAGAAUUAGAUGCAUGAGAUGCGGAGAGACCGGGCACUCAACCCAUCCACUCAACCCAUCCACUCAACCCAUCCACUCAACCCAUCCACUCAACACAUCCACUCAACACAUCCACUCAACACAUCCACUCAACCCAUCCACUCAACACAUCCA
This is a long non-coding RNA of Oncorhynchus tshawytscha (Chinook salmon), 994 nucleotides long. Lineage: Eukaryota; Metazoa; Chordata; Actinopteri; Salmoniformes; Salmonidae. The record is from Ensembl.